UACGUAGGGGGCAAGCGUUAUCCGGAUUCAUUGGGUUUAAAGGGUGCGUAGGUGGGGCGGUAAGUCAGUGGUGAAAUCCUGCAGCUUAACUGUAGAAUCGCCAUUGAUACUGUCGCUCUUGAGUACGCUUGACGUGGGCGGAAUGUGCCGUGUAGCGGUGAAAUGCUUAGAUAUGGCACAGAACACCGAUAGUGAAGACAGCUCACGAAGGCGAAACUGACACUGAGGCACGAAAGCGUGGGGAUCGAACAGG
RNAcentral lists this ribosomal RNA (253 nucleotides) under uncultured bacterium. RNAcentral describes it as "partial 16S ribosomal RNA". It matches the Rfam family "Bacterial small subunit ribosomal RNA", at positions 524 to 776 of the family's 1533-position model. The record is from RNAcentral.